CAUCUUCGAUCUGCUGCGGACAGAUGUAGUGGAUGUGGCUAUCGAACCCACCCGCGGUGACAAUACGGCCUUCACCCGCAAUGGCCUCUGUCCCAGGGCCAACGAUGAUGUCAACCCCCGGUUGCGUGUCAGGGUUUCCGGCCUUCCCAAUCUUGAGGAUGCGCCCGUCUUUUAGGCCGAUGUCUGCCUUAUAGAUCCCUGUAUGAUCAACAAUUAGCGCAUUGGUGAUGACGGUAUCGACGGCACCUGCAGUGUGGGUUAUUUGGCUUUGCCCCAUGCCAUCGCGGAUG
Molecule: small RNA, 290 nt
Filed under: Cognatiyoonia sediminum
Lineage: Bacteria; Pseudomonadati; Pseudomonadota; Alphaproteobacteria; Rhodobacterales; Paracoccaceae
Description: Loktanella sediminum 5' ureB small RNA
Rfam family: 5' ureB small RNA
Source: Rfam by way of RNAcentral